This 1413-nucleotide unclassified non-coding RNA is filed under the name Hevea brasiliensis (rubber tree). Lineage: Eukaryota; Viridiplantae; Streptophyta; Magnoliopsida; Malpighiales; Euphorbiaceae. The record is from RNAcentral.
GAACACGUUGUCUCUUCUCUGGGGCUGCAUUUAUUCAUAAAAAAAAAUUGAGAAAUAAUUAAUUCCAAAAUGUAUCUAAUCUAUGAAUUUCAUUAAUUAUUGUCGAUUAAUCAUCUCAUAUAUAAACCCUAAAUUUUGCAAAAAAUUUUAAUUGUAUAAGUUUUUCCUGAAUUUAUUAUAUUUUAAUAAAGUUUUGCUCAUAAAAAAUUACUAGUAUUAAAUUAAUUAAACAUUGACUUAAUUACAAGUUUUCCGCAUUAGUAAUCAUCUUGAGCAUGACAUAUUAAUUGUAAGAUGCAUGGGGUUGAUCUAAUGUAGACCUCACUGAUUAUGAACCCUAGCUACAUUGACUAUAGGAAAAAUACAUCAUUAAAGUAAGCCCUACAUCAUUUGUAACAUUCCUUCUAUUCACCUGUCAGCUAUCUCUUCAUUUAAUUUAUUUUCCUAUUGAAAUAAACAAUAUAUAUUUACUAAUUUAGGGUCUGACAAAUGUAAAUAAAGCGUCAAUGGUAAAUUGUAGAAAGCGUAACAUUUACUCUGAAAAUUAUUAAAGUAUUUGACUAACUACGUGUUAGUACGAAUGUGAUUAAUUUAUACUUGAUUAAGAAUGAUAUUUAAGUAAAAUCUUUCAACAAAAAUAACUUAAGAAUUCGAACUCUUGACAUUACAGAUAAAAUUCUUCUAAAAUUAGUUUCACAUUACUAAUCCAAUCAUUUAUUGAUUUAUUGAUUUUUUAAUUAUUAUAUUUUACAACAAGAGGGGAAAUAAAUUUCAACCAAACCCAGGCAAAAAUAAUUAAGUUCUUAAUUUCAACUUCUUUUGUAUAUCCAAUAAUCCACAAUACGUCUAUCUAAAAGUCAGAAAUUCAAACUCUAAACUCUAUUUCCCUUUAAAUGACUUUAAUGCAUAAAAAAAGAAAGUGAAAGUUAUAUGAGUGACCAUAUGUUCUAGGGAAGUGUUUUCCAUUUAAUAACAAGUUUUGUUUGUCCUGCUAUGUAGGGCACUGUUAUUAAAAAUAAAUAGUCAGUUACAUUUGCUAUGUAAGGUCAACAUCUUGGAAGGGCUAUACAUGAAAGAAGAGUAAAGGCUAGAGUUUUCAUGACUAUCACACACUGAGUGGUAACAAUUCUUUUACAUGGAGAAAUGACCUUUAAAGAUUAUUUACUACUCCUGUCAGUUUUUAUGGAGCCACGUCCUCAAAAAUUCUAUGUCCACCCAUCACCCAUAUGUAUAUAUAGCUUAUGCCUAAGCCUAACUAGUUGGCUGGCUAGAUAUAUAAGUGCAUGUAGCCUCAAGAAUCAUUUAUGCAUAUUAGCAUAAAUAUAGGGGGUAAUCCUUUGUCUAGGACGCCAUAUAUAUGGUACAUUAAUAUAUAUGUGUGAGAAAGAAAUUGAGAGAGAGAGAGAAAGAGAG